CUCGCGAUCAAUUAUGUCUGACAAUGAUAACGUGCCGACUCCCACUCCAUCUCCACCAUUAGAUCCUGGAGAGGGAACGUCUUCACAAUCUAACCUCUUCACUGAUUAUGAGCUCUUGACUUCAUCUGAAUAUUUGCACGAGAUUUCUCCUUCAACGACUAAAUUGGUUGAAGUUCUUGGGAUUGUUCAUCUCGUGAAGGCACCAAAGCUCGUCAAAUGCAAGAAUGGUACUGAAAAUAUUGUGUGCAAUUUCUACAUCGCCAAUCUCGAUGGCGAUACAGCCCAAUGUGUUAUGUGGGGUCCAACCAUUGAAAAGUUCAUUGACAAACUCUUGAUUCAUCAUGUCAUUCACAUUGAUGGAGCAUUCCCCAAACAUGUUCAGGAAGUAUUCAACUCAGGAAGUGUUCCUUAUGAAUUGAUUAUUCAGUCGAAUACAGGUGUUACAGAUUUGGGUAAACUGCAGUUCCCUCAAGUAUCCGAAGCCAAUGAACUGGUGCUCGUUCCUUUGUCUUAAGUCACUAAGCAUAAGAAAAUUAUUGCUGUGAGAGGUUUCAUCAAAACUCCUUGGGCAAUUAUCCAUAAGCAAACUGAUAGUACUGGUAACACGUGUUAUGGAUCUAUUGCUGCUGACAAGUACUUUCUGGAUGUGAAAAUCUCAGAUUUCGCUAAUGAUUACCGUUGUCAAUUCAGAAAAGGGCAACAUGUACAAUGUCUUGGAACACUCAUCAGGGCUGAUAAUAUAUGCACUUACAAUUUCCAUUCUAUCAUUUUUUACAGUACUAUUUUUUUAACCAAUCAUAUCUCCUUCUUUUUCAGGUAAUUCUUUCUUCUUUUGUGUCCAAGCUCCAGGCUGCAUCACGUUAGUUGACGGAGUAACUGCCACUUUGAAGGAGCUGUUGUUGUAUAAACCUGUGUCAUCUCUCACUCAAGUUGAGGCUGAUAAUCCUGGCACAUCCAAAAAGAUGAGGAUGGUCGAAUUAUUCAACAGGAAACUCAACAAAAAAGAUUGAAUUAUUCUGAUGAUCUUCCCUGUUCUCCAGCUGAUAGAAUUCAGCCACAGAAUUCAUUGAAUCUCUCCAUUCAUCAUUUUUUUCUCAAUUUUCCGAAUUAUCUAUAAAUCCAUCAAUUUUCCUCAACUUGAUGUAAUGAGUGAGAACAUUGCUUCAAAUCAUUUCUCUAGAAUUCAUAAUGAUGAGUAAUCAAUUCUCCAAUUGCAAACAAAAAACCUACAUUUGUUAAGCGUAGAAGAUUGCCAAAUGGAGUUAUUAAAUUAUGUAGUGAACGACGUAUCAUCGACAGAGAAAUGCCGGCCAAUAUUGAUGAAUCAACCCCAUCCACAUCAAAUGAAACAAAUUCAUUGAGGGAUGAAAAUCAGUCAUCAAGGAGUGGAAUAAAAAGAAUGAGAAUGAAAACUUCCACUUUUCCUUUCUAUAAGAAUUCAUAGGCAACAAUUUUAUAAUUUUUUCUUCUUUGAUUUUAUUCUGAAUUGUGAAACCAAAUAAAAACACCGAGGGAAAAACUUACAAAAUUUCCGCUCAAGAAUUUCAUAUAAAAAAGAAAAUCUAUUGACUUUUGUAUUAAAUCUCUUCUAUGGCGAAAAAAAAUCAAUAGACUUCUCUAAUAUAAUUCUCAUCCAACUCUGGAAGAAUUUUUAUAGAAUUCCGAUAGAAGUUCAAUAAAAAUUUUUAGAGGAAGUGCUCGGUUUGUCUAUAGAUGAUUUUUUUCCAUGCGUGUCUCUAUUUUCAAACUUUAAUAUCUCCGUUAAAUAGAAUUUUACAAACUCGACGAACUUCGAGGCGAUUGGGAGUUAGUUUAUCUUUUUUUUUUAUCUAGUACGCGGCGAGGUUAGAUCAAAAGGGCUGUCCUGGAGGGUGUUUAUAGAAACGACAAAAAACUCAUAGAAAUGUUUACAGAAAUUUUAUAGAAUAGUCUAGUUAAUUCGCUACGUUUUCCUAUUGAUGAAUUCAUUCAUAUGUGUAAA
Molecule: long non-coding RNA, 1981 nt
Organism: Diachasma alloeum
Lineage: Eukaryota; Metazoa; Arthropoda; Insecta; Hymenoptera; Braconidae
Exons: 5
Source: RefSeq, a predicted model, not a curated record